UGGACAAUGUGGAGAGUCUGCUUCUGGUCAGAGGACACAGAGCCCCAGCUGAAGCUUCAUCAGGCUUCUUUUCAGGUUUCUAGUGCUCCGUUAAAGAUUAGCACCUGGGCAAGUGGCUGGCCUACCUCUUAUUCUGCAUCCACCCCGGAGUUCAUCACAGGAUGAGGAGAGGGCAUGGAGGUGACCCUACAAUAUAUCUUCCAACAGUGCAGAACUCCGGGAUACUGGCUGGACACGUGACUGCCCAGAAUAAAGAUAACAACAUUUCCCAGCCACCUCGGCAGCUGGGUGUGGCUCUCUCACUAAAUUCUGUUUCCAAGGCUGGCAUGUCCUCAGGACUCUAGUUUGCAAGAUCCUGAAGACUCUCUAGCCCUCGUGCUUCCGGACCUGCCAGGAACAGGUGCUGCACUGCCCACUCUGCCUCAUCAGCCAGUGUUCUUCCACCUGCUUUCAGUCUCCUGGGAACUUGCUAAGAUUUCUCACACUCUGAUGGGCCCCCUCUUGUCCUUCCUGCUGUG
Non-coding RNA from Manis javanica (Malayan pangolin), 518 nucleotides. The record is from RefSeq and is a predicted model, not a curated record. NCBI's taxonomy places the organism in Eukaryota, Metazoa, Chordata, Mammalia, Pholidota, Manidae.